AAAAAGAUAAGCUAAUAAAGCUAUUAGGUUCAUACCCUAAUUAUAGAAGUUAUAAUCUUCUUCUUUUUA
This 69-nucleotide transfer RNA is filed under the name Cerapanorpa brevicornis. RNAcentral's name for it is "tRNA-Met". It matches the Rfam family "tRNA". Rfam says of the family: Transfer RNA (tRNA) molecules are approximately 80 nucleotides in length. Their secondary structure includes four short double-helical elements and three loops (D, anti-codon, and T loops). Further hydrogen bonds mediate the characteristic L-shaped molecular structure. tRNAs have two regions of fundamental functional importance: the anti-codon, which is responsible for specific mRNA codon recognition, and the 3' end, to which the tRNAs corresponding amino acid is attached (by aminoacyl-tRNA synthetases). tRNAs cope with the degeneracy of the genetic code in two manners: having more than one tRNA (with a specific anti-codon) for a particular amino acid; and 'wobble' base-pairing, i.e. permitting non-standard base-pairing at the 3rd anti-codon position. Lineage: Eukaryota; Metazoa; Arthropoda; Insecta; Mecoptera; Panorpidae. The record is from RNAcentral.